GUCUAUGGCCAUACUACUCUAAAAGUGCCUGAUCUCCUCUGAUCUCAGAAGCUAAGUAGGGUCGGGCCUGGCUAGUACUUGGAUGGGAGAUUUUUCAUUUCUUCCUUUGGUUAUGAAGACAGGUUAUUUUAUUAU
This 135-nucleotide ribosomal RNA is filed under the name Microcebus murinus (gray mouse lemur). The record is from RNAcentral. Lineage: Eukaryota; Metazoa; Chordata; Mammalia; Primates; Cheirogaleidae.